GACGUAGGAGACGAGCGUUGUCCGGAUUUACUGGGCGUAAAGCGCGCGCAGGCGGCCCCGCAGGUCGGUUGUGAAAGCCCCCGGCUCAACCGGGCGGAGGCGAGCGAAACCGCGGGGCUGGAGGCUGGCAGAGGGUGGUGGAAUUCCCGGUGUAGUGGUGAAAUGCGUAGAGAUCGGGAGGAACACCCGCGGCGAAGGCGGCC
RNAcentral lists this ribosomal RNA (203 nucleotides) under uncultured bacterium. RNAcentral's name for it is "partial 16S ribosomal RNA". It matches the Rfam family "Bacterial small subunit ribosomal RNA", at positions 524 to 726 of the family's 1533-position model. The record is from RNAcentral.